This 492-nucleotide ribosomal RNA is filed under the name uncultured bacterium. RNAcentral's name for it is "partial 16S ribosomal RNA". It matches the Rfam family "Bacterial small subunit ribosomal RNA", at positions 29 to 507 of the family's 1533-position model. The record is from RNAcentral.
AGUGAACGCUGGCGGUAGGCCUAACACAUGCAAGUCGAACGGCAGCACAGUAAGAGCUUGCUCUUACGGGUGGCGAGUGGCGGACGGGUGAGGAAUACAUCGGAAUCUACUUUUUCGUGGGGGAUAACGUAGGGAAACUUACGCUAAUACCGCAUACGACCUACGGGUGAAAGCAGGGGAUCUUCGGACCUUGCGCGAUUGAAUGAGCCGAUGUCGGAUUAGCUAGUUGGCGGGGUAAAGGCCCACCAAGGCGACGAUCCGUAGCUGGUCUGAGAGGAUGAUCAGCCACACUGGAACUGAGACACGGUCCAGACUCCUACGGGAGGAAGCAGUGGGGAAUAUUGGACAAUGGGGGCAAGCCUGAUCCAGCCAUACCGCGUGGGUGAAGAAGGCCUUCGGGUUGUAAAGCCCUUUUGUUGGGAAAGAAAAGCAGCAGGUUAAUACCCCGCUGUUCUGACGGUACCGAAAGAAUAAGCACCGGCUAACUUCGUG